AACGAACGCUGGCGGCAUGCCUAACACAUGCAAGUCGAACGAGACCUUCGGGCCUAGUGGCGAACGGGUGCGUAACGCGUGGGAACCUGCCCUUAGGUUCGGAAUAACUCCCCGAAAGGGGUGCUAAUACCGGAUAAUGUCUUCGGACCAAAGAUUUAUCGCCUUUGGAUGGGCCCGCGUUGGAUUAGCUAGUUGGUAGGGUAAAAGCCUACCAAGGCGACGAUCCAUAGCUGGUCUGAGAGGAUGAUCAGCCACACUGGGACUAAGACACGGCCCAGACUCCUACGGGAGGCAGCAGUGGGGAAUAUUGGACGAUGGGCGAAAGCCUGAUCCAGCAAUGCCGCGUGAGUGAUGAAGGCCUUAGGGUUGUAAAGCUCUUUUACCCGGGAUGAUAAUGACAGUACCGGAAGAAUAAGCUCCGGCUAACUCCGUG
Molecule: ribosomal RNA, 433 nt
Filed under: uncultured bacterium
Lineage: Bacteria
Description: partial 16S ribosomal RNA
Rfam family: Bacterial small subunit ribosomal RNA
Source: RNAcentral